GUUAAUUAAGGUCAUUCCAUUCGCCAGCAGACCUUCAACAGCAGUCCAACACCCACUCUCCAUGGACCAAAUGAUGCUGGUCUGAGGUUGUCCAAGAGAACCAGGUGAAGGAAAGCCACAACCUCAGUGAUCAAAGGAAAACUCACAGGUACAAGAGGAAAGGCUUAAUAGCCCUAUUUUCAGAUAAGAAAAAUAACAUUCAAAGAAAGCCAAAUACCACCGAACCACAUUAUUUUGAUGAAUGGUGA
RNAcentral lists this long non-coding RNA (248 nucleotides) under Mustela putorius furo (domestic ferret). RNAcentral describes it as "lncRNA (ENSMPUG00000031314.1)". The record is from RNAcentral. Lineage: Eukaryota; Metazoa; Chordata; Mammalia; Carnivora; Mustelidae.